This 62-nucleotide transfer RNA is filed under the name Iguana delicatissima. RNAcentral describes it as "tRNA-Cys". Lineage: Eukaryota; Metazoa; Chordata; Lepidosauria; Squamata; Iguanidae. The record is from RNAcentral.
GCCCUGGGGUGUAACACGUCAAAGUGCAAAUUUGAAGAAGAGCCCUAUUCGGCUCCGGGGCU